RNAcentral lists this ribosomal RNA (460 nucleotides) under uncultured bacterium. RNAcentral describes it as "partial 16S ribosomal RNA". It matches the Rfam family "Bacterial small subunit ribosomal RNA", at positions 338 to 795 of the family's 1533-position model. The record is from RNAcentral.
CCUACGGGGGGCAGCAGUGAGGAAUAUUGGUCAAUGGUCGAGAGCCUGAACCAGCCAAGCCGCGUGAGGGAUGAAGGUACUGCGUAUUGUAAACUUCUUUUGUCAGGGAAUAAAGUUAGGGACGUGUCCCUCGAUGAAUGUACUUUAUGAAUAAGCAUCGGCUAACUCCGUGCCAGCAGCCGCGGUAAUACGGAGGGUCCGAGCGGUAUCCGGAUUUAUUGGGGUUAAAGGGUGCGUAGUGGGGUUGUUAAGUCAGGUGUGAAAGCCCGGGGCGCAACCCUGGAACUGCGGUUGAAACGGGCAGUCUAGAGUUGGGGAGAGGUAUGCGGAAUGCGAGGUGUAGCGGUGAAAUGCAUAGAGAUCAGAAAGAACACCGAUUGCGAAGGCAGCUUACUAAACUAUAACUGACGUUGAGGCACGAAAGCGUGGGUAGCAAACAGGAUUAGAUACCCUAGUAGUC